GGGGGCUAGCGUUAUCCGGAUUUACUGGGCGUAAAGGGUGCGUAGGCGGUCUUUCAAGUCAGGAGUGAAAGGCUACGGCUCAACCGUAGUAAGCUCUUGAAACUGGGAGACUUGAGUGCAGGAGAGGGGAGUGGAAUUCCUAGUGUAGCGGUGAAAUGCGUAGAUAUUAGGAGGAACACCAGUUGCGAAGGCGGCUCUCUGGACUGUAACUGACGCUGAGGCACGAAAGCGUGGGGAGCAAACAGGAUUAGAUACCCUGGUAGUCCACGCUGUAAACGAUGAGUACUAGGUGUCGGGGGUUACCCCC
RNAcentral lists this ribosomal RNA (307 nucleotides) under Clostridioides difficile. RNAcentral's name for it is "bacterial SSU rRNA". It matches the Rfam family "Bacterial small subunit ribosomal RNA", at positions 530 to 841 of the family's 1533-position model. The record is from RNAcentral. Lineage: Bacteria; Bacillati; Bacillota; Clostridia; Peptostreptococcales; Peptostreptococcaceae.